Long non-coding RNA from Wasmannia auropunctata (little fire ant), 846 nucleotides. RefSeq lists it as uncharacterized. Lineage: Eukaryota; Metazoa; Arthropoda; Insecta; Hymenoptera; Formicidae. The record is from RefSeq and is a predicted model, not a curated record. The transcript is spliced from 3 exons.
UAUACGCGACAUUUUAUAUGACAAGGCGUAUUCGAUCGCUGCGAAUUCUUAUUACAACCGUAUUGACUUGUUCCGGAAUGUGAUGAGUGAUUAGGCUUCAUAAAUUAUACAGUUUACAUUACUUUAGAAUAAUAUAACUUAGUUCAUAUCACUAUACAAAUGAUAGAUCUUUUAAUCAGACAAUUCAAAGCGAUGUUCACACAUUAUGGACCUUCUAUCUAUUGUGACUGCGGAACCACAUGCGGGACGAAGGGGGAAUUCUCUUAACCACGGACGACACCUAAUACCGGACGUUAGCUAUAUCUGCAAUAAUUGAAUCGCUACUGAGCCGUUUUUCCGCAUAAACCGUAGAGGGGAUAGAUCAAACAACAAGUUUUGACACGUUCUAAUCGUGUGUGCACAGCUAAGGAGAUCGAUUGAUUGUUGCGUAUGAUGGGAAACUGAUGCAUCGUAUAGAUUAUAAAUUAUUAUAUCUACCAAUUUGCGUGGUCGAAAGACGUAACAUUCUGGCAAAACAAAUUCACCUAAAAGAGGCAUCUUCAAAAUAUGGCUUUGCAAGAAGCACUUGCUGCCAAAAAUGGGCACAUGAGGCUUGUGUCGAUAUCCCUAAAUGUUCUGACAAUUAUAUUUGUGAUCGCUGCAAAUUAUAUUAAAACUGUUCUCUGAGUACGUUAAUAUGUCUUAUUGUGUCUGGUAUUAAGUGGUACACUUAAUGAUUUCAAAAUCAUAUACUAAAGUUUAAUGUUAAUUUAAGUUAACUACAAUGAUAAUAUUGAUUAUUUCGUUGCUUUAUUUUGAUAUCUACUAUUGUUAACUGAUAAAUAAUGCAGGAUAAAAAGAAUGAAA